UUGCGCACACGGGGAAAAAUUUAUCAAAGUAAAUUGAAUUGUUUCUCUGCGGUGACGGCGCCGCUGACUGGCACCGUCACUUUUUGGAUGGCUGCUCACUUUUAGGUAAUGAGAAAAAAGGACAAAGUGCAACCUAGG
This is a non-coding RNA of Caenorhabditis elegans, 138 nucleotides long. The record is from Ensembl. NCBI's taxonomy places the organism in Eukaryota, Metazoa, Nematoda, Chromadorea, Rhabditida, Rhabditidae.